AUUUUGAAAUUUUAUUAACUGAAUAUUAUCAAUUUAUAUAUAUAUAUAUAUAUAUAUAUAUUACAACCUACAAAUUUGUGGGUUUUAGAAAAGCAUAUUUCAAAAAGCACAUAUAGUUUUUGUUAAAAAAUAGUUUAAUGAGUAUGCAUAAUUAUUCUAAGGAAGCACCAGGCGGACACCCCUCUUUUACUGCAUGGAAACCCCCUAUGCCACACAUCCUUUCAUGCACAAAGUAAAACUCUUAUUUACACCAAAAGGCUUUAGAAUAAAUUUGCAAUAAUAGAUUUGUGUGCAAUGACUCCAGGUUUAUUUUUUCUGAUUAUAUUUGACUAAAUUUGACAAUUUUUUUAAUACACUAAAUAUAAUUCUUUCAUUUUUUCAAAUAUAAUAUUGAAAUAUGAUAUUAAUCUUAUUUAAGAAAUCUUUUAUUGUAAAUUUAGCCUAAUAACAGUUUUAGUGUACAUAUGCAGGAUAUGUGGCAUAGUGGGGGUUUCCACAUAGUAAAAGAGAAAUGCCCACCAAGCAGUUCUUUUAUUAUAGUCAACAUCAUUCUAAGUUUGUAAAUUGAGAAAGUUGAAGGUGAUCAUUUCAAAGUUAAUUUUUUAUCAUAACAAUCUCAUUUUAAAGAUAUCAAGUGAAUAAUGUAUAUUUAUAAUUUAUAUUUUAACUUUUGAUAUACUAAAUUUUAUAAUAAUUAAUAAGGAAAUCAAUUUUAUUUGAUGCAGGUGAGUGUGGCACCUUUGUGAAAAAAUGUGUAAAAUUGUGUUUUUAUUGUAUAUAUAUAUAUAUAUAUAUAUAUGUAUAUAUAAUUAAAAUAAGUCUAGAAUAUCAAAAAGUAUAUUUUGCAAGUGUGCUAGCAAAAAAUUACAAAUCAUCAACGACACUUCUAAUUAGACUGCUACAGUGGCAUGAUUCUACAAAGAAUGUUAUAAAUUUAGAAGAACUUGAUUUUAUUAUGGCUUUUAAAAAUAUAAAAAUUGAAUAUUUUAUUAGAAUUUGGACCAUAAUAAAUUAUUAAUUUGUAAUUAUUUUUAGUAAUUUGGUGUAUUAAUCAACAUGAUACAUAUUUGAGAAGAUUUGAUUUUUAUUUUUAACAAUUAAUGUAUAUCUUAAAAAAGAUGUCAAUUCACUUUAAAAAGAUGCCAAUUCACUUAAUUUAAAUUAUAACAAUGUAAGUUGUGCAUUAUUUUUUAUUUGCAUAUAAGACAUAGUGUUAUAGCAUUUUCAUGCAUUUUACUAUAUAAUCUUCGAAUAUCCAGUUUUAUUUAUUUAUUUAUUAUUAUUUUAUUAUUGUAAUAGAUAUUUAUUAUAUUAUAUUAUGAUUUAUAAUUAUUAAAUUGUAAUAUAUGUAUAAAAAUUUUCACACGUACUUUCAUAUAUAUAUAUAUAUAUACAUAUAUACAUCAUUUAAUCACCAAUAUUUAAAUAUUACUUAAUAUUUUAUGAUCAAAUAAAGAUUUAUUAGACUAACAAAAAUGUUUUGAGAUUCUACUUAUUGUUGGAAACAUGCUAUAAUUUUUUAAAAAAUAAGAUAUUACUUUUCUUUUGUAUAAAUAAUUUCUAAUAACUCUAAAUUUGAUCUACAAUUAUAAGGCAAAAUUUAAAUAUCUUAUAGAUAACCUUGGUUGGAAUAAUAAAGCCUUUAUGACUUGAUUUCUAUAUGGCUUAACAAACAUUAUGAAAAUUUUAUUGAUUACAAUGAUACAAGUCCAUAAUUUGGAAGAACUCAUGUCUUAAGCUAUCACUUGCAAUAACAACUUAUUUGAAUUGCAACAAGAAAAACAAUGGAGUUGUAGUAAUGUUUAUCAAAAUAUAAUUUUUACUCUUUCAAGAAGUAUUUAACAAAUCCUAAAAUUAUGCAAAUCAAUGCAACUUAAUUUAAGCCACUCAUUGAUCAAGAAAAGAAGCAUAAAAGUGAACUUAAUUUAUGUGUGUAUUGUAAAAAACGUGGUUAUAAGAUGGAAAUUGUUUUGAGAAACUCGAGCGCAUAGAGUAGAUAAAAAAUCCAACUACAUCACUAAAUGCUUUGUAGGAAAAUAAAGACUGUUUAGCUAUAGUAGAGGCCAUAUAAUUGGAUACUUCUAUUUUUAAGUCAAAAAAGAUCCUAUACUAUUAGUUAGUUUUUUAGUUUUUUUUUAAUACCUAUUUUUUAGAUAUUCAAAAACUUAUGGUCUAUGCUUUACUACAUUGAAGAUCUUAUGUUUAAUUUUUUGAUGAAGAAUUUUCAAAAAUAAGUUUCCUAAAGUCAAAAAAAACUUAGAUUGUCCAUGUUGAAGUCAUAGAUGGUUGAUCCUUAUCUUUAGGAGAUGUUAUUCAUAAAACCACUCCAUUAGAGGUAACAUCAAAAAAUUAUAGUAGCCAAGUAAUAUUCAAUAUUAUUAACUUUCUAUCCAAUUAUUAGGACUCUCUUAGGUCAAAAGACAUAAUCUGCAUAUAGAUUGGAUAUAUAAUAAAAUAAAAAUUAUAUAGUAGAACCUCUUCCUACUAAACUUGGUAAAGGAUCUCAAACACAUCAUAGAUUCAAGUUCACAAAGCCUUUUUUUUUGGAAUAAGAAUAUCCAUUACUAUUGAUAUUUGGAUUAUUAGAUUAAUUAGAUAAAGCAAAGAUCUACACUAAAAUAGAUCUAUAGGAAGCUUAC
This 2639-nucleotide long non-coding RNA is filed under the name Physcomitrium patens. RNAcentral describes it as "long non-coding RNA (PPAT_LNC009021)". Lineage: Eukaryota; Viridiplantae; Streptophyta; Bryopsida; Funariales; Funariaceae. The record is from RNAcentral.